This 218-nucleotide unclassified non-coding RNA is filed under the name Hevea brasiliensis (rubber tree). Lineage: Eukaryota; Viridiplantae; Streptophyta; Magnoliopsida; Malpighiales; Euphorbiaceae. The record is from RNAcentral.
UAUAUCAAGCAGCUCAAACCACCCACCAUAUGGCUGGGUUAGCGUUGCAAUUGUGAUGGAAGAAAAAUAAUUAUCGAACGGCCUUGACCGCAGCUAAAUGGCCGAUUGCAAGCACUAAAACUAUACAAGACUAUAAACAUGGAAGAUAUUCAGAAAAUUAAGAGGCAUAAUCCUUCUUGUAGCAUUUGUCUUCAGGAUAAAAAAUGGCAACAGCAGUA